Molecule: ribosomal RNA, 699 nt
Filed under: uncultured bacterium
Lineage: Bacteria
Description: bacterial SSU rRNA
Rfam family: Bacterial small subunit ribosomal RNA
Source: RNAcentral
UGGUAGUCCAUACCGUAAACGGUGCAAACUAGAUGUUGCGAGCUUCUAACCUCGCGGUGUCCAAGCUAACGCGUUAAGUUUGCCGCCUGGGAACUACGGCCGCAAGGCUAAAACUCAAAGGAAUUGACGGGGACCCGCACAAGCGGUGGAGCAUGUGGCUUAAUUCGAGGCAACGCGAAGAACCUUACCCAGAUUUGACAUUAACAGGACCGCCUAUGAAAGUAGGUUUCUCUCUUCGGAGUCUGUUAACAGGUGCUGCAUGGCUGUCGUCAGCUCGUGCUGUGAAGUGUUCGGUUAAGUCCGGCAACGAGCGCAACCCACGUGAUUAGUUGCUAGCAAGUAAUGUUGAGAACUCUAAUCAGACUGCCUGUGUUAAACAGGAGGAAGGCGUGGAUGACGUCAAGUCAGUAUGGCCUUUAUAUCUGGGGCUGCACACGUGCUACAAUGGCCGGUACAAUAGGUUGCGAUACUGUAAAGUGGAGCUAAUCCCCAAAACCGGUCUUAGUUCGGAUUGAGGUCUGCAACUCGACCUCAUGAAGCCGGAAUCGCUAGUAAAGGCGUAUCAGCUACGACGCCUUGAAUACGUUCCCGGGUCUUGUACACACCGCCCGUCACAUCAUGGGAGCUGACUGCACCCGAAGCCGUUCACCCAACCAUUUAUGGAGGGAGACGUCUAAGGUUCGGUUAGUGAACUGGAUG